Molecule: ribosomal RNA, 301 nt
Filed under: uncultured bacterium
Lineage: Bacteria
Description: partial 16S ribosomal RNA
Rfam family: Bacterial small subunit ribosomal RNA
Source: RNAcentral
CAGCCGCCGCGGGAAUACGUAUGUCGCGAGCGUUAUCCGGAAUUAUUGGGCAUAAAGGGCAUCUAGGCGGCCGGAUAAGUCUGGGGUGAAAACUUGCGGCUCAACCGCAAGCCUGCCCUGGAAACUAUGCGGCUAGAGUACUGGAGAGGUGGACGGAACUGCACGAGUAGAGGUGAAAUUCGUAGAUAUGUGCAGGAAUGCCGAUGAUGAAGAUAGUCCACUGGACGGUAACUGACGCUGAAGUGCGAAAGCUAGGGGAGCAAACAGGAUUAGAUACCCCGGUAGUCCCUGUCUCUUAUAC